UCUCUCCGAGCUCAUCCACAGGUAAAGAGCUCACCCAUGCUCAGUGUUCAUUUAUUCACAGCAAUCAGAAAAUAGAAACAGCUUUGCUUUUCAUCAACUGAUAAAUGGAUAAUAAAAAUGCAACACAUUCACACAAAAGAAUUCUGUUCAUCUGUAAAGAAAAUGUAUAUGAAAAUGCCAGAGAAAGGAAUGGAGAUGAAAGGAAUCAUUCAAAAUGAGUGAUCCAUGUGAAAGAAAAGAUUGGAGCUGCCUCCUGAAGUGUACCACUAUCUCAGAAGAGUCCCUAGAUGAAGACAAGAACAGAAUGAUAAAUUCCUGGCAUCUGUCUGUUCUCAUUAAAGAAGUCCCGAUGGCUUGGC
This is a long non-coding RNA of Mastomys coucha (southern multimammate mouse), 359 nucleotides long. RefSeq lists it as uncharacterized. The transcript has 2 exons. The record is from RefSeq and is a predicted model, not a curated record. NCBI's taxonomy places the organism in Eukaryota, Metazoa, Chordata, Mammalia, Rodentia, Muridae.